GAAAUUUCAAAUGAAAUUGUGAAACUAAGGCAUUGAUAACAAUAGGCAUCAUAUGAGAAUUAUAGUUACUCCAUGCUUUGAUCACUUAAUAUGUUCAAAACCCUAGAAUCAUCGGUGAUUUUAUUAUUUGAAGAAAGAGAUGUACCAUUUUCAAAGGGUGUUCUGUCUAGCAAUGAAGAGUAUUGUCAAUUUAUGCAUCCUGAAGUUGCUAAACAAAUAGACUUGAAGAUGCAUUGGAAGACACCACAUUCAAGAGUCGAUCGUUU
This 266-nucleotide unclassified non-coding RNA is filed under the name Hevea brasiliensis (rubber tree). The record is from RNAcentral. Lineage: Eukaryota; Viridiplantae; Streptophyta; Magnoliopsida; Malpighiales; Euphorbiaceae.